RNAcentral lists this transfer RNA (67 nucleotides) under Marmota monax (woodchuck). RNAcentral describes it as "tRNA.Thr". Lineage: Eukaryota; Metazoa; Chordata; Mammalia; Rodentia; Sciuridae. The record is from RNAcentral.
GGUUGUGGUUCAGUGGUAGAGUGUUUGCCUAGUAUGCAUGAAGCACUGGGUUCAAUCCUCAGCACCA